RNAcentral lists this transfer RNA (75 nucleotides) under Candidatus Yanofskyibacteriota bacterium. RNAcentral describes it as "Candidatus Yanofskybacteria bacterium tRNA-Glu". It matches the Rfam family "tRNA". Rfam says of the family: Transfer RNA (tRNA) molecules are approximately 80 nucleotides in length. Their secondary structure includes four short double-helical elements and three loops (D, anti-codon, and T loops). The record is from RNAcentral. Lineage: Bacteria; Candidatus Yanofskyibacteriota.
GGCGCCAUCGUCUAGCCCGGCCUAGGACACAGGAUUCUCAUUCCUGGAACUGGGGUUCGAAUCCCCAUGGCGCUG